AUUGAACGCUGGCGGCAUGCCUUACACAUGCGAGUCGGACGGCAGCACGGGAGCAAUCCUGGUGGCGAGUGGCGAACGGGUGAGUAAAGUAUCGGAACGUGCCCAGUCGUGGGGGAUAACGUAGCGAAAGUUACGCUAAUACCGCAUACGAUCUAUGGAUGAAAGCGGGGGAUCGCAAGACCUCGCGCGAUUGGAGCGGCCGAUAUCAGAUUAGGUAGUGGGUGGGGUAAAGGCUCACCAAGCCGACGAUCUGUAGCUGGUCUGAGAGGACGACCAGCCACACUGGGACUGAGACACGGCCCAGACUCCUACGGGAGGAAGCAGUGGGGAAUUUUGGACAAUGGGCGAAAGCCUGAUCCAGCCAUGCCGCGUGCAGGAUGAAGGCCUUCGGGUUGUAAACUGCUUUUGUACGGAACGAAAAGGUUUGGCCUAAUAAGCUGAGCUCAUGACGGUACCGUAAGAAUAAGCACCGGCUAACUACGUGCCAGCAGCCGCCGUAA
Molecule: ribosomal RNA, 500 nt
Filed under: uncultured bacterium
Lineage: Bacteria
Description: partial 16S ribosomal RNA
Rfam family: Bacterial small subunit ribosomal RNA
Source: RNAcentral